This 21-nucleotide non-coding RNA is filed under the name Caenorhabditis elegans. The record is from RNAcentral. Lineage: Eukaryota; Metazoa; Nematoda; Chromadorea; Rhabditida; Rhabditidae.
UCUGGUUCCUCCAAUGCCAUA